AUGAAGCUGAACAUCUUCUUCCCAGCCACUGGCUGCCAGAAACUCAUUUAAGUGAUUGAUGAAUGCAAAAUUCUUACUUUUUAUGAGAAGCGUAUGGCCACAGAAGUAGCUGCUGACGCUCCGGGUGAAGAAUGGAAGGGCUACGUUGUUUGAAUAAAUGAUGGGAACGACAAACAAAGUUUCCCUAUGAAGCAGUGUGUCUUGACCCAUGGCUGUGUCCACCUGCUACUGAGUAAGGGGCAUUCCUGUUACAGACCAAGGAGAACUAGAGAAAGAAAGCGAAAUCUGUUAGUGGUUACGUUGUAGAUGCCAAUCUGAGCGUUCUCAACUUGAGAGAAGGAUAUUCCUGGACUGACUGGUACUACGGUGCCUUGUUGCCUGGGGCCCAAAAGAGCUAGCAGAAUCCACAAACUUUUCAAUUUCCCUAAAGAUGAUGUCUGUGAGCAUGUUGUAAGAAAGCCCUUCAACAAAGAAGGUAAGAAACCUAGGACCGAAGCACAGAAGAUUCAGCGUCUUACUACUCCAUGUGUCCUGCAGCACAAACAGUGGCGUAUUGCUCUGAAGAAGCAGCAUACUAAAAAAAUCAGGAAGAGGCUGCAGAAUAUGCUAAACUUUCGGCCAAGAGAAUGAAAGAGGCUGAAGAGAAGCACCAGGAACAGAGUGCCAAGAGAUGCAGACUCUUCUCUCAGCGAGCUUCUACUUCUGUCUGAAUCCAGUCAAAAAUAA
RNAcentral lists this long non-coding RNA (726 nucleotides) under Homo sapiens (human). RNAcentral describes it as "non-protein coding lnc-SLC16A7-7:2". The record is from RNAcentral. Lineage: Eukaryota; Metazoa; Chordata; Mammalia; Primates; Hominidae.